RNAcentral lists this ribosomal RNA (468 nucleotides) under uncultured bacterium. RNAcentral's name for it is "partial 16S ribosomal RNA". It matches the Rfam family "Bacterial small subunit ribosomal RNA", at positions 28 to 507 of the family's 1533-position model. The record is from RNAcentral.
GACGAACGCUGGCGGCGUGCUUAACACAUGCCAGUCGAACGGAAAGGCCCUGCUUUUGUGGGGUGCUCGAGUGGCGAACGGGUGAGUAACACGUGAGUAACCUGCCCUUGACUUUGGGAUAACUUAAGGAAACUGGGGCUAAUACUGGAUAGGAGCUCCUGCUGCAUGGUGGGGGUUGGAAAGUUUCGGCGGGUGGGGAUGGACUCGCGGCUUAUCAGCUUGUUGGUGGGGUAGUGGCUUACCAAGGAUUUGACGGGUAGCCGGCCUGAGAGGGUGACCGGCCACAUUGGGACUGAGAUACGGCGCAGACUCCUACGGGAGGCAGCAGUGGGGAAUAUUGCACAAUGGGCGCGAGCCUGAUGCAGCAACGCCGCGUGCGGGAUGACGGCCUUCGGGUUGUAAACCGCUUUCGCCUGUGACGAAGCGUGAGUGACGGUAAUGGGUAAUGAAGCACCGGCUAACUACGUG